GAACGCUGGCGGCGUGCCUAAUACAUGCAAGUAGAACGCUGAAGGGAGGAGCUUGCUCUUCUUGGAUGAGUUGCGAACGGGUGAGUAACGCGUAGGUAACCUGCCUGGUAGCGGGGGAUAACUAUUGGAAACGAUAGCUAAUACCGCAUAAUAUUGGGUAUUGCAUGAUAGUCAAUUGAAUUUGCAAAUGCACCACUACUUUAUGGACCUGCGUUGUUUAGCUAGUUGGUGGGGUAACGGCUCACCAAGGCGACGAUACAUAGCCGACCUGAGAGGGUGAUCGGCCACACUGGGACUGAGACACGGCCCAGACUCCUACGGGAGGCAAGUAGGGAAUCUUCGGCAAUGGACGGAAGUCUGACGAGCAACGCCGCGGAGUGAAGAAGGUUCCCGGAUCGUAAAGCUCUGUUGUAAGAGAAGAACGGGUGUGAGAGUGGAAAGUUCACACUGUGACGGUAUCUUACCAGAAAGGGACGGCUAACUCAGAAACGUGCCAGCAGCCGCGGUAAUACGUAGGUCCCGAGCGUUGUCCGGAUUCAUUGGGCGUAAAGCGAGCGCAGGCGGUUAGAUAAGUCUGAAGUUAAAGGCUGUGGCUAACCAUAGUAGGCGUUGGAAACUGUUUAACUUGAGUGGGGGAGAGUGGAAUUCCAUGUGUAGCGGUGAAAUGCGUAGAUUAUGGAAAAGGAAUUGACGGAACACCGGUGGCGAAAGCGGCUCUCUGGUCUGUAACUGACGCUGAGGCUCGAAAGCGUGGAUGAGGGUUUGGGGAGCAAACAGGAUUAGAUACCCUGGUAGAUGAAGUCGGUCCACAAUUAGCCGUAACGAUGAGUGCUAGGUGUUUGGGCCUUUCCGGGGCCCAGUGCCGCAGCUAACGCAUUAAGCACUCCGCCUGGGGAGGCCAUCUACGACCGCAAGGUUGAAACUCGGGGCCCGCACAAGCGGUGGAGCAUGUGGUUUAAUUCCGCUAGGAAGCAACUUUGAAGAACCUUACCAGGUCUUGACAUCCCUCUGACCGCUCUAGAUAGAGUUUUCCUUACGUCGGGUCCGGGACAAAGGUGGCAAGCUAAUACAGGUGUGCAUGGCCCUCGUCAGCUCGUGUCGUGAGAUGUUGGGUUAAGUCUCUUAAAGCCCCGCAACGAGCGCAACCCCAUUGUUAGUUGCACUCUAGCGAGACUGCCGGUUUUGGGCCGGAGGAAGGUUGGGAUGAUCAUGCCCCUUAUGACCUGGGCUACACACGUGCUACAAUGGCUGGUACAACGAGUCGCAAGCGGUGACGC
Molecule: ribosomal RNA, 1277 nt
Filed under: uncultured bacterium
Lineage: Bacteria
Description: partial 16S ribosomal RNA
Rfam family: Bacterial small subunit ribosomal RNA
Source: RNAcentral